AUUGAACGCUGGCGGCAUGCCUUACACAUGCAAGUCGAACGGCAGCGGGGACUUCGGUCCGCCGGCGAGUGGCGAACGGGUGAGUAAUGUAUCGGAACGUACCUUUCAGUGGGGGAUAACGUAGCGAAAGUUACGCUAAUACCGCAUAUUCUCUGAGGAGGAAAGCAGGGGACCUUCGGGCCUUGCGCUGAUGGAGCGGCCGAUAUCAGAUUAGCUAGUUGGUGGGGUAAAGGCUCACCAAGGCUACGAUCUGUAGCGGGUCUGAGAGGAUGAUCCGCCACACUGGGACUGAGACACGGCCCAGACUCCUACGGGAGGCAGCAGUGGGGAAUUUUGGACUAUGGGCGAAAGCCUGAUCCAGCCAUGCCGCGUGAGUGAAGAAGGCCUUCGGGUUGUAAAGCGCUUUCGGACGGGAAGAAAUCAUGAGGGCUAAUAUCCCUUGUGGAUGACGGUACCGUAAUAAGAAGCACCGGCUAACUACGUGCCAGCCGCCGCUGUAA
Molecule: ribosomal RNA, 500 nt
Filed under: uncultured bacterium
Lineage: Bacteria
Description: partial 16S ribosomal RNA
Rfam family: Bacterial small subunit ribosomal RNA
Source: RNAcentral